GAUGAAGAACGUAGCGAAAUGCGAUAAGUAGUGUGAAUUGCAGAAUUCAGUGAAUCAUCGAAUCUUUGAACGCACAUUGCGCCCCUUGGUAUUCCAUGGGGCAUGCCUGUUCGAGCGUCAUUUGUACCUUCAAGCUCUGCUUGGUGUUGGGUGUUUGUCUCGCCUCUGCGUGUAGACUCGCCUCAAAACAAUUGGCAGCCGGCGUAUUGAUUUCGGAGCGCAGUACAUCUCGCGCUUUGCACUCAUAACGACGACGUCCAAAAGUACAUUUUUACACUCUUGACCUCGGAUCAGGUAGGGAUACCCGCUGAACUUAAGCAUAUCAAUAAGCGGGA
Molecule: unclassified non-coding RNA, 335 nt
Filed under: soil metagenome
Description: partial contains 5.8S ribosomal RNA, internal transcribed spacer 2, and large subunit ribosomal RNA
Rfam family: 5.8S ribosomal RNA (bases 1-120)
Source: RNAcentral